RNAcentral lists this unclassified non-coding RNA (263 nucleotides) under plant metagenome. Its description in RNAcentral is "partial contains small subunit ribosomal RNA, internal transcribed spacer 1, and 5.8S ribosomal RNA". The record is from RNAcentral.
UUUCCGUAGGUGAACCUGCGGAAGGAUCAUUAUUGUAUAACCGAGGUGCGAGGGCUGUCGCUGACCCGUCAGAUCGUGCACGCCCGAGUGCCCUCACACACAUACAUCUGACCCCUAUGUUCACCACCGCGAGGGUUCCCCUUUCGCUUGUUCGGAGAGGGGCUUACGUGUUCGCACAAACAUUGUAUGCAGUGUAGAAUGUAUUUUUCGUUUUAGCGAUCACGCAAUAAAUACAACUUUCAACAACGGAUCUCUUGGCUCUC